This 492-nucleotide ribosomal RNA is filed under the name uncultured bacterium. RNAcentral describes it as "partial 16S ribosomal RNA". It matches the Rfam family "Bacterial small subunit ribosomal RNA", at positions 29 to 507 of the family's 1533-position model. The record is from RNAcentral.
AGUGAACGCUGGCGGUAGGCCUAACACAUGCAAGUCGAACGGCAGCACAGUAAGAGCUUGCUCUUACGGGUGGCGAGUGGCGGACGGGUGAGGAAUACAUCGGAAUCUACUUUUUCGUGGGGGAUAACGUAGGGAAACUUACGCUAAUACCGCAUACGACCUACGGGUGAAAGCAGGGGAUCUUCGGACCUUGCGCGAUUGAAUGAGCCGAUGUCGGAUUAGCUAGUUGGCGGGGUAAAGGCCCACCAAGGCGACGAUCCGUAGCUGGUCUGAGAGGAUGACCAGCCACACUGGAACUGAGACACGGUCCAGACUCCUACGGGAGGCAGCAGUGGGGAAUAUUUGACAAUGGGCGCAAGCCUGAUCCAGCCAUACCGCGUGGGUGAAGAAGGCCUUCGGGUUGUAAAGCCCUUUUGUUGGGAAAGAAAAGCAGCAGGUUAAUACCCCGCUGUUCUGACGGUACCCAAAGAAUAAGCACCGGCUAACUUCGUG